This 1426-nucleotide long non-coding RNA is filed under the name Rhinopithecus bieti (black snub-nosed monkey). Its description in RNAcentral is "lncRNA (ENSRBIG00000046051.1)". The record is from RNAcentral. Lineage: Eukaryota; Metazoa; Chordata; Mammalia; Primates; Cercopithecidae.
GAGGAGGGGCACUGGGCUGGGGAUUUUGGGUGUAGCUGAUGUUGAGGUUUCUCUAAGUUUAGGGCCUCAGUGCUCUCAGCCUGUGCUACCAUGCCUUGUGACCGUGAUCAGCGGCUGGCCUGCUCUGAGCCAGUCCCCAGGAAGGAGGGGUGAGAUUCACCAGCCUGGCUGAUGUAAGGACUUCCCUUCCAGUCCUCUGUGAAGUUGCAGCUGCUCUGCAGCCAGGUAUUAAUGAGCUGCUGGGACAGGGGAAUGAUGAUCCAGGCUAGGGGUGAGGGGCUGGUGAAUAGGGUACUGGCACCCUCUGAAGGUCUCCUUUCUCCAUAGUAUGAGAAGAUCCUGAAGCUCACAGCUGAUGCCAAGUUUGAGUCAGGCGAUGUGAAGGCCACAGUAGCAGUGCUGAGUUUCAUCCUCUCCAGUGCAGCCAAGCACAGUGUCGAUGGCGGAUCCUUGGCCAGUGAACUGCAGCAGCUGGGGCUGUCCCAAGAGCACACGGCCGGCCCGUACCACUUUUAUGAGGAGAAGCAAAGCCCCUUGCAGAAGCACUUGUGUGUCUGCAGCCUACGCAGCAAGUGUGAGGCCAGCCAGGGUCCAGGCUCCUUCUAGAAGGUGCACGCAGCACACAAGUGCAUGGAGAGUCCAAGGAGACAACUUAACCAUGGUCACAUACCAAGCAGCUGCAGAGCUGGGACCUGGCCCUGGCUCUCCUGACUCCGCGGGCUGUGUGAUGUGUAUGUACAGGAUCAGACCUUGCCCUUUCCUCCUGGCUGACUCUUCCCUAGUCCCCUGUGCCCCAUGUGUGAGCACCCAGCUCUCUCUUAUUCCUCCCUCUCCGAAGUGUGGUCCCUGGGAGCACGAGUGGGAGAAGGGGCAGCAGAGACUGUGGACCCCUCAGCUGCACCUAAGACCUCUGUGUGGUCUAGCUGUGUGUGCUGGGGGAGGCUUUUGGCCACCAUUUCCCGCUCUGUAAAUGAGACCGAUACCUGUGGCAUGGAGGGCGGGAGGCCGGUGUGAGUGCCAAGCACUUGGAGCAGGGCCCUGAGUGAACAUGGACUUGGAAACGGGUGUUCCUUGAUUUUAUGCACCUUGGGAAUGGGAGUGGGGCUCCCUGCAUGGGUUGAUAAGGCAUUGCUUUCCCCCACUCCACCUCUUUCCCAGCCCUGCAAGUCCAGUCCUCAGGGGUCCAGGAGGAAAGAAGCCCCUGGCUGUGUGACUUCGGGCUGGUGCCUGGCCCUCUCUGGCUCUGAGUUCCUGGGAACGUCAGCACCCAAGGCACGCCCUCAAGUUUAGCACCUUGACAAGAAGGGCAGGGACACUGGGAUCAGGCCCACCCCCCUGGCCCCACACCCCAUGGCCCCAACUGGAGGAUGAGGAGAUGCUGGGCUUGGAUGGGGGAAUCAGGGGUGGAAAGGGACCUGCUCACCCC